This 1425-nucleotide long non-coding RNA is filed under the name Anas platyrhynchos platyrhynchos (common mallard). RNAcentral's name for it is "lncRNA (ENSAPLG00000031053.1)". Lineage: Eukaryota; Metazoa; Chordata; Aves; Anseriformes; Anatidae. The record is from RNAcentral.
CUGGAAAGGUACAAAUCCCUUUGGCACCUGCUUGGCAUCAGCAGUGGUGCUAUUAGCAUGUCCUUGUCUUGGUCUGGAAGCAAUGCACCAUGAGCUCUUUCUGGGGUAUUGAUAAAACAAUUACCUGUCUUGGAGUUUGCCCCUUUCUUGUGGGAAUCCAAAUGAGGCAGUGUCCUGGUGAAAGGCAUCCUCAGAUGGGCAAUGAGAUUGCCUGAGCUCCCCAGACUCCUUUGGCCUGAUGCACUUGUUUCUAGGAUUACCUAACCAAUCUUCUGGCAAAGUUUAGCAAUAAGAGAAAGUUAUUUCCUAAUUCUGGGUGCGCAGGUGCACCUGCAGGUGUGGUCUCAGCUAAUAAUGCUGAGAAGGGAUACUAGGAGCCCUGACUUAAGAAGUCUGUAUAAUCCUUGUUUAAGGAGACAGUUACCUUGGCAGAGGUGGUGAAGCUGCUCCCUCUGAAGGGCAUUUUGUCUUCCUGGAUGUUGAUCUGCCUUAAGUGCAAAGGUAAAACAAAGCAAACAACAAAAGGCACCAAGCCAAAAAUCCUUCUGCUGGGAAGUGUCUUUCAAGAUGCUUAGGAACAGAAUCUGGCAGGAGACUAUUUUAUGUACGCUGGAUGAGCUGCAAAGAUGGAAUGGCAAACAGAUGCAGCAGUCUGCAUGUGGAGCCCAUCUGAUUUUUGGGGGACUAUUGCAUUUAAUCCCAGGAUUAAACUGUCUGAAGCUAGCAGAGCAGGAGCUGUGGGUCACAGACACCAGUAAGGAUGAGGAGGGUCCUCAGACGGAUGAGGAGAGAUGCCUGCCUUGCCAAGCAGAGCUGCUGUUAUGAAAUGGCCCCUGACCAUGGAUAGCUGCAAUGAACAGAGCUGGGGGCUGCACGAAUGCAUGGCAUGGGACUCACUUUGCCAGAUGGGUGGUUCAGGACUGAGAAGUAACCAAUUGGAAACCUGCCCAUCUCCUGGGGUUGGAGCUGACCCCUUCAUGGGUGGCCUGGAGGAAGAGGCUGAGAUGGGGAGGGAGCAAGUGUCCAUGGCACCUUCUCUGCAGCAGCUACUGCUGGAGGCAGUUGGAAACCCCAGCUCAGAGCUGGCCCCCUGCUGUGUCCCAGCCUGCCGAUGCGGGCUGUCACUGCUGCAGCCCCACGUGAAUCAGAACCCACAUGAAUCAGAACCCAGACCCCAGGUGGAGUUCUGCAGCACUUAGGGCUGGCUGCAUGGCAGGGGAUGAGAGCAAAGGCAAGUAGAUGUUGUGGGGCACAGAGCCACUCCACAGGUCACCUCCCUGAGCAAGCAUGUCCCUUCGCAGUGGUCCUGGCUCCCCUUGUAAAUGCCCCUGAUGUGUAGCCAGUCUGUUCCAGAAUAAUCUUUCUUCAGUUUCCCACCAUUGGCAUAGAAGUAAUAAGCUGGCUUGGUGUGUUAAGGCAAAAAAG